Molecule: long non-coding RNA, 4848 nt
Organism: Crotalus tigris (Tiger rattlesnake)
Lineage: Eukaryota; Metazoa; Chordata; Lepidosauria; Squamata; Viperidae
Exons: 3
Source: RefSeq, a predicted model, not a curated record
CAUUGGGAAAGGGCAAAGCCACGAGUCUCUCCAACUGCUCGGGCUGGCUUCCCUUUGCAAUUUUUCUCUCGCGCUGCUCCGCUCCAGAUCGGCGCAUCCCUUGCCAACAGCGAGCGCGGCUGCCAAGGAGACUUUAGCGAAGAGGAAAGAGCGGGACUGAACUUCCUCCAGCUUGGUAGAACAACGCACCCCUCGGGUCCCGCGCCCCACCCCGAGGCCGGAGAAGAGACCCCCGAGGCCGGAGGUCAGGUGUCGGGCGGGAGCGGCCGGGCGGCAAGUCGCUGGGCGGGAGGGCUCCUUCGGCUUGGGACGCUUCUUCCACUCCGCAGGCAUCGGGGGGAGAGAGAGAGAGAGCAGGGACAGGCGAGCGGGGCUGGGGGUCCCCACUAAGAGACAAAGAAAGAAAGGGAGGCGCCGGGAAGAUGAAGCGGGAGAGUCCCGAUAAUUUAUCUGCAAAGAGUUUGUUCUCUGGAGCCAACUGGUCAGAUUUGGUUGUGUUCAGACACAGCGACACCUGGACCGGUGCUCAGCCAGACAGGAGGCAGGAUUCCAGAUAGGUCAAGGUCCUGCAGCCUCUGUUAGAAGGGAGAACCCAUAUGCCCAUAUGCCCUUUGCAAACCAGCCAUGGUGAGGCCCUGGGAUCCAGAAGUUUCAGUUUGGAGACUUCUGGCCUGUCCCACUCAACACAUUAGUCUGGGCAAUCCACCCAAGGCCUCCUUGCCCAGAUAUAAUAACAUUUGUCCACCCUCUGACCAAGUUGCUGGAAAGAGCAUAAAAGAAAAAACGACAAUACCGUAUGCCUGUUUUUUAAAAAAUAAACAGUGACGAUUGAGCACAACUCUGAUUAAAAUAGAUCCCUGCCUUGUGCAGCUUAUGAUUUAAUGAUGGGAAAGAAUUAUUCCAGUUCUCAGAUGUGUAAAUUCAAGUUUUGAGGGAUUCAGUUGAAAACUAAGAUGUUGACUUCUCAGAAAAGAAGUCAGCAAAGUAGAUGCUGCUGAAAAAGGACCAAACAGUUCUGAAUUUCUAAAGUAAAACAAUACAAAAUUAAUAUACCGGUACGUAUAUAAUGAAACCACUGAAGCCCUCCGUAGAGCUUUAACAUUCUGAGCAACCACUGGGAGUAAAAAGGUUCCCUGAAAGUAAAAAAAUGAUUAAAAGCUGUCAUAAAAGUGUUUAAGGAGAUGGUAGGACUAGGGAGACCCUGAUAUAUGAGACUCGCUAGGUGACUGAAAUAUAUUUUGCAUAUGCUCAGAAGAACACAUUCAAAAGGAGUGUCCCUACAAGUUCUAAAAAGUAGGCAAGACAUAUUAAUUACACUUGUGGUGACUGAAAUGUGUUUGUAUGUACUCUUAGCAUAAAUUGACACAUUUUGUGGUCUGCUUUGUUAAAGAAAACUUGUGACAAACAAAAGUUUGGCAGAGAAGUCCACAAUCUGGGUGCCAUCACCAUCUCGGUCCUGCUUCUUCUCAUAUCACCCAAUGUUCUCUGGGUAGUGGAGGCACCUAGGACAACAGCCAAAAAUAUCUACCUUCUUCUCGACAAAAUAGAUACUGUAUGUUGGGAGGAAGACAUGGUGCAUUUGAGGAUUUUAGGAGCCCUCCUUUCCAAGGAUAUGGAUUUCCUUCCCUACCACCUAAGAAGCCCUUUAUUUUAUUGACUUCUGAUGCCAGAAAGCGAUGCCUUUUCCAGCACUGGCAGCAAAUUCACUGGCCCACUGCCAUUGUUUUCAGAAAGAAUGUCAACGUUUGGAAGGCACUAAGCAAAUCUGUUUGAUUAGAUCAAAAAAUAUUCAGUCUGGUGCCGUAAACAAGAAAAAUUGAGCUUUGCUGCCAAAGAAGGGCAUUUAGAGUGUACUUCCCCAGCCCAGAAGAAGAAGGGAGGGAGAACUUCCAAAUUAAUGGGGAGCACAAUAUUAUGAUGUCUCUUGGAGGAAAGCAGUGCCGGCAUCAGAAUUCUGUGUGAAUUGACAGAAAUGAAGAAAUCAUAAUUUAGUAGGAUUUAAUUUAUAUCACAGUGUUGAGAAGAUGACAUUUUAAAUGCUUUCUAAAAGGGAAUUUGCUGAUGUGGCUUCUUUGCCUGGGAAGCCAAGUUGGUUCAUAUUGACUAUAGUCCAAUGAUUAAGCAUAUGUUUUGAAUGCAAGAGAUCACAAGUUCCCAAGGUCAUCGUGUCUCUAUAUGAAGGAUUCUAUUUGGAACCUAGUGUCACAAGAUCCAGUGUUGACUGCUUGCUUGCUUGCUUAGAAAAAGGGGACUGAGCCAAUUUAUGGAGGAAGAGAAGAUUAUAUAUGGACAUACAUAGUGAAAUGCCAUGAUUAUGGGCAGCAUUGUUUCUGGGCAUCCAGCUGAGAAGAAGCUGGGUAUCCAGCAAUAGAAAGUUCUAUUGAGGGCCUUCCUGGAGGCAUCAGAUCAAUGACUAUGAGAAAUAUAGUCUCUAGAAAUAUAUCCCUAAUCCAACAGGGAUCUUCUGAGAUUUUGAUAAUAGAUAUCAAGGGGCAGUACAAAAUAUUGUAGAUCAGUGUUGUCCAUAUCUUUUGGGACCAAAUGUUUUCCAUAUCUUUUGGGACCAAAAUAUUGUAGAUCAGUGUGGUCCAUAUCUUUUGGGACCAAAUGUUUUCCAUAUCUUUUGGGACCAAAAUAUUGUAGAGCUACACUGAUCUACAAUAUUUUGUACUGCCCCUGGGAUCUAUUAUUAAAAUCUCAGGAGAUCCCUGUUGGACCAGGGAUAUAUUUCUAGAGACUAUGGGCACAUUUGGAAUUUUGAAGGUGUUAUAAGCACUCUCACAAAAAUGUUGUCCUGGUGAGCGUGACUGAUUCCUGGGUCCUCAAAGUAUCCAUGAACUCUUUCUUGCACUGUGGGGUUCCAUGCCCUACCUACUGGCAGCUUCCAUUGCUAUUAUUCCUUGUAGGUAAGGCGGUCCAUUGAUCACGCAUGGGUUCUCCAGACUCCAAAGCCAGCUCUUCCACCCCUCCCUGCUUAUUCAAGUGAAGGUUAUUUCAGGGGGACUUUUCAGGAUGCCACCAGAAACCCAGAACAGUGUUUCAAGGACGUUGACAAACACUUUCAACAUUUCCUACACACAUCAUUGUGUGCACCACAAUACUGUUUUGACAAGACCUUGUUCAACACAGAUAGUACCUGCCAGCCAACAGAAUUCACAUUAGCCAAGAAGUCUCACAAUAGCUGGAUUAGGGAGAAGCUCAGUGGAUCUGAAUGAAUGCCAGAGCACAUAACUCUGGUUAAAAAAACAAGAAAAGGGGAAAAAAAUGGCAGGACUGAUGAUUGAGAAAUUGCCUCUGAGCAUGUACAGGGACUGUGUUUUUCUUCUCUGCUCAAUCUAAGCCAAUUUCAGCCAUGCUGCAAGAUGUCAAAGCCACAACAUGAUUCCAGCACAUCAAAGCCUCUUGCAUUAAAGUUCUUCAAAACUUUCGACUUUUCUCUGGGAGCUCAAGACAGCUCAUUGGGCAUUUUCUCCUCAUUCUGUCUCCUCGACCUGACCCAUAAUCCGAUUAGAAAAACCAUUCCUAUACUUGUUGUGCCUGGAGAAGGUUCGAACAAACAACGGGACGGUUUGUUGAACUCAAAAGAAAAAGGAGAUUAUACAGGUGAAGAUUCAUUUCAUAGCAACAGAAUGGUUGUGUUUGCCAUUGUAUUCCGUUUUUUUUUUUUUAAAAAAAAUCCUUGUCUACUUAGAACCUUAGGAUUUCUUAGUGGCACUCUAUUCAAAACUAACCAAGUUUGCAGUUUUUUUUUCCUUCUGAGAUCAGCAAAGGUUGGUUUGAUGCUGCCAUCUGCUGUUAUAAAGGAAGCAGCUCCUUAGGUGGGGCUGCUUCAAAGAAGUGCAGACAGGUACAGUAUUAUGUUCAUGCUACUGUGUUCUCUAAACAGUAUUUAUCAAGCUUGGCAUCCUUAAGAUGCGUGGACUUCAACUCCCAGAAUUCCCCUGCCAUCAUCAGCCAGCCCUCCCAGUUAGUGUCAUCUAUAAAGUUUUUCAGUGUCUCUUCAAGUUCCUUAUUCAGGUCAUUGGUUAAAAAAGCACAAAGCCCAGGACUUAGCUCUGUGUAUCUGUAGUUUAUCCAGAUCAUAUAUAUCUGGAUCCAGCAUAUCCAGAUCAUCUUGACUUGAAUGAGGUCAUCUCCUUCUCCAGAGCAAUACUCCACAUUUUUCCUAUCUUUUGAUGUGAAAGCUGUGCCCACAGAGACCCAACAGUGAGUGUUUCAAUCUUGGCAACUUUAAGAUGUGUGGAUUUCAACUCCCCAAACUCCCCAGCCAGCUCAAUACUGGGAGUAGAAGUCCACAUCUCUUAAAGUUGCCGAAGUUGAGAAACAAUAUUCUAAAGCACCGUUUUGAAAUCAGAUUUGAAAUCCUACACACAUGCCUACUGCACGUUUGCAAAAUUUUCUACACUGGACUGGCCUCCUUGUAAUGUACCUGGGAGCAAUUCUAUUAUUUCUGCAACAGAAUAGAAUAAAUUCUUUAUCAGCCAAAUGUGAUUGGAUACACAAGGAAUUUGUCUCUGGUGCAUAAGCUCUCAGUUUACAUACAAGUUUACAUACGAGCAACAUGUGAUCAUAAUCAUAAUACAACCAUCAUAAAUCAUAAGAUACAACACUCAGUGAUUGUCGUAAGAUACUAAAUAAAAGCAAUCAGCAUAAAUUAUAAGAUACAAACAGUAAGUGAUGGUAAGAUGCUAAAGGAAUACAGUGAGGGGGUGAAAGUAUUUGGUCCCCUGCUGAUUUUGUAUGUUUGCCCACUGACAAAGAAAUGAUCAGUCUGUAAUUUUAAUGGUAGGUUUAUUUUAACAGUGAGAGACAGAAUAACAACAAAAAAGUUGAGAAAAACACAUUUCA